GAUGAACGCUGGCGGUAUGCUUAAUACAUGCAAGUCGAACGGACUCUUCGGAGUUAUUGUCGGCCGGGUGUGUAACGCGUGAGAAUCUGGCCUUGGGUUCGGGACAACCACUGGAAACGGUUGCUAUUACCGGAUGUGCCCAGAGGUCAAAGAGAAAUUUCCUGCAGAUGAGCUCGGGUCUGAUUAGCGAUUUGGUGAGGUAUAGACUCACCAAGGCAGCGCGAAGUAGCAGGUCUGAGAGGACGACCGGCCACACUGGCACUGAGACGCGGCCCAGACUCCUAUGGGGGGCAGCGGGGGGGAAUUUUGCGGCAAGGGCGAGUGCCUGACGAAGCAAUACCGCGUGAAAGAAGAAGGUUCUUGGGUUGAAAAACUCUGUUCGUAGGGAAGAACAAAAUGACGGUACCUAAGGAGACAGCAACGGCUAACUCCGUG
This 435-nucleotide ribosomal RNA is filed under the name uncultured bacterium. RNAcentral describes it as "partial 16S ribosomal RNA". It matches the Rfam family "Bacterial small subunit ribosomal RNA", at positions 28 to 507 of the family's 1533-position model. The record is from RNAcentral.